This 63-nucleotide transfer RNA is filed under the name Heterophrynus longicornis. Its description in RNAcentral is "tRNA-Cys". The record is from RNAcentral. Lineage: Eukaryota; Metazoa; Arthropoda; Arachnida; Amblypygi; Phrynidae.
GAGUUAGUAGUUUAUGGGAAAAUUUUGGGUUGCAAACCUAGAGAUGCAGAUUUGCUUAACUUU